UCCACGAAAGCAAAGAAGCAAAAACACGUUUAUUAUAAUGUAAUACGAAGGUAGGAUCCACGACACAUGAUCAAGAAUGCAGCUUCCCGAAGGUGUAAUUCUUGACACAAUGAUUAUAAAACCAUAACAUGGUCACAGCAGACUUCAUUGCAUGAAAAGAUUGAAGGUGAGGUUGGUGUUACUGGAGAUGAGGUGUUACACUGAACAUUCUCACAGAAAGGAAUAAGAAAGUGACAUUUAGCAUUUUGCAAUAAAACACAGAAGAAAAAAUAACACUAUCCAAAUAAUAAAGUAGCUUUUAAUUCAUCACCAACAGUACACUGACACUUACAAUAAGGAUGUUACUUUUAAUUUAUUUAAUUAUACACUGAAGGAAUGGUAUAUGUUAUAUACACUGGAGUUAUGCAAGUUGCAGUGUAAGACCUGUAAACAAAGGAAAUGUCUUAUAUACAUUCAAUAAAUUGGAUUUAAUUGCA
Molecule: non-coding RNA, 476 nt
Organism: Zootermopsis nevadensis
Lineage: Eukaryota; Metazoa; Arthropoda; Insecta; Blattodea; Termopsidae
Source: RefSeq, a predicted model, not a curated record